This 346-nucleotide unclassified non-coding RNA is filed under the name soil metagenome. RNAcentral's name for it is "partial contains 5.8S ribosomal RNA, internal transcribed spacer 2, and large subunit ribosomal RNA". The stretch from base 1 to 120 matches the Rfam family "5.8S ribosomal RNA", at positions 35 to 154 of the family's 154-position model. The record is from RNAcentral.
GAUGAAGAACGCAGCGAAAUGCGAUAAGUAGUGUGAAUUGCAGAAUUCAGUGAAUCAUCGAAUCUUUGAACGCACAUUGCGCCCCUUGGUAUUCCGGGGGGCAUGCCUGUCCGAGCGUCAUUGCUGCCCUCAAGCACGGCUUGUGUGUUGGGCCCCGUCCUCCGAUCCCGGGGGACGGGCCCGAAAGGCAGCGGCGGCACCGCGUCCGGUCCUCGAGCGUAUGGGGCUUUGUCACCCGCUCUGUAGGCCCGGCCGGCGCUUGCCGAUCAACCCAAAUUUUUAUCCAGGUUGACCUCGGAUCAGGUAGGGAUACCCGCUGAACUUAAGCAUAUCAAUAAGCGGAGGA